CUCCCCCACCCGAAGAAAGUGCAGCGGUUCCCUCUGCGCCCCCGCGCGCCCCGCCCGGCGCCGCCCCACGCCUCAGGCCCCUUUUCCAGUCGGGGCGGGGAGGAAAAGGGGUCGAGGACCCGGGACCGUGGGGCGCGUCGCGGCUCCUGUGGGUCGCGCCCUUGGCCCCGUCGCCCAGCCCAGAGAAGCCCGCUCCGCGUGGAGGCGGGUCCUCCAGGGCCUCCCCCACAGCCGGUCCUGAGCCCGGACGUCUCGCCCGCAACCCAGAGGCGCCGGGGUCCACUGCUGCCAGCCUGCAGCCCAGGGGAGGGCUGGCUCGGCCGUGUAGCCUCAAAGCCCGGGCUCCCCGCCCGCAGGGCCAGCGCGCCGGGCAAGACCCUCCAGCGCGCCCUGAGUUUGCGCGCCUCGCACGUCCAGUGUACCAUUGGGCACCAGGUCCGGCUUUGCAUGAAGCGCUCUGCUGUGCCAAGGAACGUGAAGCAGGGGCUGCACGGUGGGCAUCAGAUGUCCAAGUGCGAACCCCUCGGAAGCGGAGCCCUGCAUCAGUCACCACCGAGAAAGGCAAAUGCUAGCUUGAAAUGAAAACAUCAGAGAGAAAAAUCCUUUCGGAAUGAGGGGCCCUGGCUGGCUUUGCCACCACGGAAGGUUCCAGAGACACGGCAGAGCCAAAGGCAAAUUAAAACACACCCUGUCAAAAGAUUUCCGCUGUCUCCCAAGUAUUUAUUUUUUGGAACUUGGCGAAGGAGGGUUUAAUUAAGACACCCUCAGGCGGGAGCCUUGUGCAGAGUGGAAGAGGCUGACGGUUCUUGGGAGUCCAUCAGGACGGCUCGGAGCAUGCGGCUCAGGUCAGGGGCAGAAGGCAUGGUCAGCUCCGGGGGCUGCGCAGACCCAGCUUCCCUGGCUGCAAGCCCUCAAGGAGCUCCACCAGCUAAGUGUUCUAAUAAAGCGUG
RNAcentral lists this long non-coding RNA (950 nucleotides) under Ursus americanus (American black bear). RNAcentral's name for it is "lncRNA (ENSUAMG00000012764.1)". The record is from RNAcentral. Lineage: Eukaryota; Metazoa; Chordata; Mammalia; Carnivora; Ursidae.